Long non-coding RNA from Mesocricetus auratus (golden hamster), 557 nucleotides. RefSeq lists it as uncharacterized. The record is from RefSeq and is a predicted model, not a curated record. NCBI's taxonomy places the organism in Eukaryota, Metazoa, Chordata, Mammalia, Rodentia, Cricetidae. The transcript is spliced from 3 exons.
CUGAAGGAGAAGAAAUCUUGCUGCUGUCUGCAGCCCCCAUACGUAGAUGAACCUCUGCGAAGUGGUGGAACCCCAUUUCUGCCCAGCUCUAGAGAGAGAAAUCAGUUUUAUGGCAUGCAGUGUUUAAGUGUGAUUAGCCCCAGUCACGGAAGACAUGACACAGGAUGGCUGUAUCGUGGUUGGUACUCUUCAUUUCCAGUCAGUUCAUGGGCCCUGUGGAGCAUGAGCCAGCCCCGGUCCACGUUUCCAAGUGGCAGAUUUGUCAAAAAAAUCAGUCAGAAGAUCUCAGACGUACAGUUGGAGCGAGGCUCUCAGUAUAUGGAUGUCUAAGUGUAAUUUUAAAGAAGGCACAUGGAAGGAAGUUUGAUUAAAUGGACUUUUAUGGCUUUGGUUUUCUAAACAACAGAAGUUAAUUGCAGGGGAGGGUGCUUGCCCCUGUGCGGAUUCCUCCAUCUGAGCAGUUCGCUGAAACCCAAAAUGUCUAGCCAGCUGUGGAUUGAAAGCAUUCGUUUAGAGGCCAAUGGUGUUUUCUGUUUGUCUGAUGCCGAUCUAAUACU